UACGGGGGGAGCAAGCGUUGUUCGGAUUUACUGGGCGUAAAGGGCGCGUAGGCGGCUUGCCAAGUCGCGGGUGAAAUCUUUCGGCUUAACCGGAAAAGUGCCCGCGAUACUGGCCGGCUCGAGCGAGGUAGGGGCAGGGGGAACUUCCGGUGGAGCGGUGAAAUGCGUUGAUAUCGGAAGGAACGCCGGUGGCGAAAGCGCCCUGCUGGACCUCACCUGACGCUGAGGCGCGAAAGCCAGGGGAGCAAACGGG
This 253-nucleotide ribosomal RNA is filed under the name uncultured prokaryote. RNAcentral's name for it is "partial 16S ribosomal RNA". It matches the Rfam family "Bacterial small subunit ribosomal RNA", at positions 524 to 776 of the family's 1533-position model. The record is from RNAcentral.